CACGAAUUUCUUUUUAAAAGAAACAAGAACACUAUUUUCAUAAUUGUCUUCCAGUGUAAAAAACUUCACAGACUGAUUUACCUUAUUAAAAGGAAAUGA
Molecule: long non-coding RNA, 99 nt
Organism: Octodon degus (degu)
Lineage: Eukaryota; Metazoa; Chordata; Mammalia; Rodentia; Octodontidae
Exons: 3
Source: RefSeq, a predicted model, not a curated record